UUGUUGGGUAGGGGAGCGUUCUGUAAGCCUGUGAAGGUGGCCUGUGAGGGUUGCUGGAGGUAUCAGAAGUGCGAAUGCUGACAUAAGUAACGAUAAAGCGGGUGAAAAGCCCGCUCGCCGGAAGACCAAGGGUUCCUGUCCAACGUUAAUCGGGGCAGGGUGAGUCGACCCCUAAGGCGAGGCCGAAAGGCGUAGUCGAUGGGAAACAGGUUAAUAUUCCUGUACUUGGUGUUACUGCGAAGGGGGGACGGAGAAGGCUAUGUUGGCCGGGCGACGGUUGUCCCGGUUUAAGCGUGUAGGCUGGUUUUCCAGGCAAAUCCGGAAAACCAAGGCUGAGGCGUGAUGACGAGGCACUACGGUGCUGAAGCGACAAAUGCCCUGCUUCCAGGAAAAGCCUCUAAGCAUCAGGUAACAUCAAAUCGUACCCCAAACCGACACAGGUGGUCAGGUAGAGAAUACCAAGGCGCUUGAGAGAACUCGGGUGAAGGAACUAGGCAAAAUGGUGCCGUAACUUCGGGAGAAGGCACGCUGAUAUGUAGGUGAAGCGACUUGCUCGUGGAGCUGAAAUCAGUCGAAGAUACCAGCUGGCUGCAACUGUUUAUUAAAAACACAGCACUGUGCAAACACGAAAGUGGACGUAUACGGUGUGACGCCUGCCCGGUGCCGGAAGGUUAAUUGAUGGGGUUAGCGGCAACGCGAAGCUCUUGAUCGAAGCCCCGGUAAACGGCGGCCGUAACUAUAACGGUCCUAAGGUAGCGAAAUUCCUUGUCGGGUAAGUUCCGACCUGCACGAAUGGCGUAAUGAUGGCCAGGCUGUCUCCACCCGAGACUCAGUGAAAUUGAACUCGCUGUGAAGAUGCAGUGUACCCGCGGCAAGACGGAAAGACCCCGUGAACCUUUACUAUAGCUUGACACUGAACAUUGAGCCUUGAUGUGUAGGAUAGGUGGGAGGCUUUGAAGUGUGGACGCCAGUCUGCAUGGAGCCGACCUUGAAAUACCACCCUUUAAUGUUUGAUGUUCUAACGUUGGCCCGUAAUCCGGGUUGCGGACAGUGUCUGGUGGGUAGUUUGACUGGGGCGGUCUCCUCCUAAAGAGUAACGGAGGAGCACGAAGGUUGGCUAAUCCUGGUCGGACAUCAGGAGGUUAGUGCAAUGGCAUAAGCCAGCUUGACUGCGAGCGUGACGGCGCGAGCAGGUGCGAAAGCAGGUCAUAGUGAUCCGGUGGUUCUGAAUGGAAGGGCCAUCGCUCAACGGAUAAAAGGUACUCCGGGGAUAACAGGCUGAUACCGCCCAAGAGUUCAUAUCGACGGCGGUGUUUGGCACCUCGAUGUCGGCUCAUCACAUCCUGGGGCUGAAGUAGGUCCCAAGGGUAUGGCUGUUCGCCAUUUAAAGUGGUACGCGAGCUGGGUUUAGAACGUCGUGAGACAGUUCGGUCCCUAUCUGCCGUGGGCGCUGGAGAACUGAGGGGGGCUGCUCCUAGUACGAGAGGACCGGAGUGGACGCAUCACUGGUGUUCGGGUUGUCAUGCCAAUGGCACUGCCCGGUAGCUAAAUGCGGAAGAGAUAAGUGCUGAAAGCAUCUAAGCACGAAACUUGCCCCGAGAUGAGUUCU
Molecule: ribosomal RNA, 1609 nt
Filed under: Escherichia coli C295_10
Lineage: Bacteria; Pseudomonadati; Pseudomonadota; Gammaproteobacteria; Enterobacterales; Enterobacteriaceae
Description: bacterial LSU rRNA
Rfam family: Bacterial large subunit ribosomal RNA
Source: RNAcentral